Molecule: ribosomal RNA, 301 nt
Filed under: uncultured bacterium
Lineage: Bacteria
Description: partial 16S ribosomal RNA
Rfam family: Bacterial small subunit ribosomal RNA
Source: RNAcentral
CAGCAGCCGCGGGAAUACGAAGGGGGCUAGCGUUGCUCGGAAUUACUGGGCGUAAAGGGUGCGUAGGCGGUUUGGCAAGUCUUGUGUGAAAUCUUCGGGCUCAACCCGAAGCCUGCACGAGAAACUACCGGGCUUGAGUAUUGGAGAGGUGAGUGGAAUUUCCGGUGUAGCGGUGAAAUGCGUAGAUAUCGGAAGGAACACCUGUGGCGAAAGCGGCUCACUGGACAAUAACUGACGCUGAUGCACGAAAGCUAGGGGAGCAAACAGGAUUAGAUACCCCAGUAGUCCCUGUCUCUUAUAU